RNAcentral lists this ribosomal RNA (490 nucleotides) under uncultured bacterium. Its description in RNAcentral is "partial 16S ribosomal RNA". It matches the Rfam family "Bacterial small subunit ribosomal RNA", at positions 30 to 507 of the family's 1533-position model. The record is from RNAcentral.
AUUGAACGCUGGCGGCAGGCCUAACACAUGCAAGUCGAACGGUAACAGGAAGAAGCUUGCUUCUUUGCUGACGAGUGGCGGACGGGUGGGUAAUGUCUGGGAAACUGCCUGAUGGAGGGGGAUAACUACUGGAAACGGUAGCUAAUACCGCAUAACGUCGCAAGACCAAAAAGGUGGGCCUCCGGGCCUCUCGCCAUCGGAUGUGCCCAGUUGGGAUUAGCUAGUGGGUGGGGUAACGGCUCACCUAGGCGACGAUCCGUAGCUGGUCUGAGAGGAUGACCAGCCACACUGGAACUGAGACACGGUCCAGACUCCUACGGGAGGCAGCAGUGGGGAAUAUUGCACAAUGGGCGCAAGCCUGAUGCAGCCAUGCCGCGUGUAUGAAGAAGGUCUUCGGGUUGUAAAGUACUUUCAGCGGGGAGGAAGGGAGUAAAGUUAAUACCUUUCCUUAUUGACGUUACCCGCAGAAGAAGCACCGGCUAACUCCGUG